UACGUAGGGCGCAAGCGUUGUCCGGAAUUAUUGGGCGUAAAGAGCUCGUAGGCGGUUUGUCGCGUCUGCUGUGAAAGCCCGGGGCUCAACCCCGGGUCUGCAGUGGGUACGGGCAGACUAGAGUGCAGUAGGGGAGACGGAAUUCCUGGUGUAGCGGUGAAUGCGCAGAUAUCAGGAGGAACACCGAUGGCGAGUGGCAGUCUGUGGCGUUACUGACGCUGAGGAGCGAAAGCAUGGGGAGCGAACAGGAUUAGAUACCCGUGUAGUCC
RNAcentral lists this ribosomal RNA (269 nucleotides) under uncultured bacterium. RNAcentral's name for it is "partial 16S ribosomal RNA". It matches the Rfam family "Bacterial small subunit ribosomal RNA", at positions 524 to 796 of the family's 1533-position model. The record is from RNAcentral.